UUUUGUGAGCGGCGGCGGCAGCGACGGUGACACAUCUAGCAGAGGCCGGCGCGAGGAUAUCUGAAAGUCACCGUGAGCACAUCUAGCAGCACAACUUCAAUCUGAGGGAAUGGCUGCUAAGCAAGUUUCAUGGACACCUACCAUGUCAAAGUUCAUGCUGACAUGGCUAAGUGAUUUAGUCUCCAAUGGCAAUAGAACAAGCACUGCCUUCAAGCAAUCACAGUUCAACGCUUGUGCCAUUGCUUUGAAUGAGCAUUUCCAACUUAACUUGAAUGGAGAUCAGAUCAAAAAUCAUAAUAGGACAUGGAAGAGGAAACUUCAGAAAAUAGUGAAACUCAAGGAGUUGAGUGGUGCACUAUGGGAUGAGGACAAGUGUAUGAUUGUUCUUGAUCAUGAGCAUUACACAAAUCAUGUUAAGGCUCACCUAGAGGAUGAACAAUACCUUAACAAGACUAUUACUCAUUAUAAGGAGAUGGUGAAUAUAGCUGGAGGGAGCAUGGCUACAGGGCAAUAUGCAAAAGGCUCAAGUGACCCUCUUGCUAUAGAAGUGGUAAAUCUUGAAGAAGAGAUAGCCAAGAAACCCACUACCCCAAAUGAGGAGGUUGCGCAAUCAACUAAUGUCGGUUCAUCUGGUCCCAAACCAAAGAAAGCCA
Molecule: long non-coding RNA, 653 nt
Organism: Triticum aestivum (bread wheat)
Lineage: Eukaryota; Viridiplantae; Streptophyta; Magnoliopsida; Poales; Poaceae
Exons: 4
Source: RefSeq, a predicted model, not a curated record